This 253-nucleotide ribosomal RNA is filed under the name uncultured bacterium. RNAcentral describes it as "partial 16S ribosomal RNA". It matches the Rfam family "Bacterial small subunit ribosomal RNA", at positions 524 to 776 of the family's 1533-position model. The record is from RNAcentral.
UACGUAGGGUCCGAGCGUUGUCCGGAAUUAUUGGGCGUCAAGGGCUCGUAGGCGGUCUGUUGCGUCGGGAGUGAAAACUUACAGCUUAACUGUGAGCGUGCUUCCGAUACGGGCAGACUUGAGGUAUUCAGGGGAGAACGGAAUUCCUGGUGUAGCGGUGAAAUGCGCAGAUAUCAGGAGGAACACCGGUGGCGAAGGCGGUUCUCUGGGAAUAUCCUGACGCUGAGGAGCGAAAGUGUGGGGAGCGAACAGG